RNAcentral lists this ribosomal RNA (191 nucleotides) under Priestia megaterium. RNAcentral's name for it is "partial 16S ribosomal RNA". It matches the Rfam family "Bacterial small subunit ribosomal RNA", at positions 1 to 186 of the family's 1533-position model. Lineage: Bacteria; Bacillati; Bacillota; Bacilli; Caryophanales; Bacillaceae. The record is from RNAcentral.
GCUUCGGAGAGUUUGAUCCUGGCUCAGGAUGAACGCUGGCGGCGUGCCUAAUACAUGCAAGUCGAGCGAACUGAUUAGAAGCUUGCUUCUAUGACGUUAGCGGCGGACGGGUGAGUAACACGUGGGCAACCUGCCUGUAAGACUGGGAUAACUUCGGGAAACCGAAGCUAAUACCGGAUAGGAUCUUCUCC